GAUGAACGCUAGCUACAGGCUUAACACAUGCAAGUCGAGGGGAAACGACAUCGAAAGCUUGCUUUUGAUGGGCGUCGACCGGCGCACGGGUGAGUAACGCGUAUCCAACCUGCCCAUCACUUGGGAAUAACCUUGCGAAAGUAAGACUAAUACCCAAUGAUAUCCCACGAAGGCAUCGGAAUGGGAUUAAAGAUUUAUCGGUGAUGGAUGGGGAUGCGUCUGAUUAGCUUGUUGGCGGGGUAACGGCCCUCCAAGGCAACGAUCAGUAGGGGUUCUGAGAGGAAGGUCCACCACAUUGGAGCUGAGACACAGUCCAAACUCCUACGGGAGGCAGCAGUGAGGAAUAUUGGUCAAUGAGCGAGAGCCUGAACCAGCCAAGUAGCGUGCAGGAAGACGGCCCUAUGGGUUGUAAACUGCUUUUAUAAGGGAAUAAAGUGGGUCACGAGUGACUUUUUGCAUGUACCUUAUGAAUAAGGACCGGCUAAUUACGUG
Molecule: ribosomal RNA, 492 nt
Filed under: uncultured bacterium
Lineage: Bacteria
Description: partial 16S ribosomal RNA
Rfam family: Bacterial small subunit ribosomal RNA
Source: RNAcentral